AACGCUAGCUACAGGCUUAACACAUGCAAGUCGAGGGGCAUCAGGAAGAAAGCUUGCUUUCUUUGCUGGCGACCGGCGCACGGGUGAGUAACACGUAUCCAACCUGCCGAUGACUCGGGGAUAGCCUUUCGAAAGAAAGAUUAAUACCCGAUGGUAUAUCUGAAAGGCAUCUUUCAGCUAUUAAAGAAUUUCGGUCAUUGAUGGGGAUGCGUUCCAUUAGGUUGUUGGCGGGGUAACGGCCCACCAAGCCAUCGAUGGAUAGGGGUUCUGAGAGGAAGGCCCCCCACAUUGGAACUGAGACACGGUCCAAACUCCUACGGGAGGCAGCAGUGAGGAAUAUUGGUCAAUGGACGAGAGUCUGAACCAGCCAAGUAGCGUGAAGGAUGACUGCCCUAUGGGUUGUAAACUUCUUUUAUACGGGAAUAAAGUUAGGCACGUGUGCCUUUUUGUACGUACCGUAUGAAUAAGGAUCGGCUAACUCCGUGCCAGCAGCCGCGGUAAUACGGAGGAUCCGAGCGUUAUCCGGAUUUAUUGGGUUUAAAGGGAGCGUAGGCGGAUGCUUAAGUCAGUUGUGAAAGUUUGCGGCUCAACCGUAAAAUUGCAGUUGAUACUGGGUGUCUUGAGUACAGUAGAGGCAGGCGGAAUUCGUGGUGUAGCGGUGAAAUGCUUAGAUAUCACGAAGAACUCCGAUUG
This 693-nucleotide ribosomal RNA is filed under the name uncultured bacterium. Its description in RNAcentral is "bacterial SSU rRNA". It matches the Rfam family "Bacterial small subunit ribosomal RNA", at positions 32 to 715 of the family's 1533-position model. The record is from RNAcentral.